Molecule: ribosomal RNA, 439 nt
Filed under: uncultured bacterium
Lineage: Bacteria
Description: partial 16S ribosomal RNA
Rfam family: Bacterial small subunit ribosomal RNA
Source: RNAcentral
CUACGGGUUGCACCAGUGGGGAAUAUUGCACAAUGGAGGAAACUCUGAUGCAGCAACGCCGCGUGGAGGAUGACACUUUUCGGAGCGUAAACUCCUUUUAUGUAGGAAGAAAAUGACGGUACUAUAUGAAUAAGCGCCGGCUAACUCCGUGCCAGCAGCCGCGGUAAUACGGAGGGCGCAAGCGUUACUCGGAAUCACUGGGCGUAAAGAGCGUGUAGGCGGAUUAAAAAGUCAGAAGUGAAAUCCUAUAGCUUAACUAUAGAACUGCUUCUGAAACUCUUAAUCUGGAAUGUGGGAGAGGUAGAUGGAAUUUCUGGUGUAGGGGUAAAAUCCGUAGAGAUCAGAAGGAAUACCGAUUGCGAAGGCGAUCUACUAGAACAUUAUUGACGCUGAGACGCGAAAGCGUGGGGAGCAGACAGGAUUAGAUACCCGAGUAGUC